AAAACACCUGCUUUAGGGACAGGAGCUACUCACCGUAAAAGUCACUUGGAGGCCUGACUGCAUGGGGUGCAGCGUCCUUGUGAAGAGUCCUCAGAUGGCUCUAGAGCUGGCAGUGCUGCUUUUCAGUAUUCAGCUCUGACAACUUCCCAACCCCCUCACAUCUACCACGGCCCCCACAGAGAAGAGAAAAGAAAAAAGCCCACAGACGCCCAGCUGAGGAUUCCUCUGGGCGAGGGGAGGCAUCAGAACAUGCUGAGAGCCAGAAGACGUCCCAGAUUGGCAAGAGAGAAAUGGAAAUGACUUCAGUUUGGCCCCUGGCCCGAUGGGAGUUGCUGCCCAGAGGUGCCUAUGGACCAGAAGGCAAAACCAACUGGGCCUGGCUCCUGGAAAGCGAGAGAACCAGGGGACAACAACAACAAGCUUUUCUCCUCUUGGUUGUGACAAGACUCUCUUUCUGACCAGUUUCUUCUAACCGAGGACUGCUUUGAUUCUGAC
This 495-nucleotide long non-coding RNA is filed under the name Equus asinus (donkey). RNAcentral's name for it is "lncRNA (ENSEASG00005034931.1)". Lineage: Eukaryota; Metazoa; Chordata; Mammalia; Perissodactyla; Equidae. The record is from RNAcentral.